Molecule: long non-coding RNA, 396 nt
Organism: Zonotrichia leucophrys gambelii
Lineage: Eukaryota; Metazoa; Chordata; Aves; Passeriformes; Passerellidae
Exons: 3
Source: RefSeq, a predicted model, not a curated record
AGAAUUUAUCAUUUCAACCCGAGGAAAAUAGAAUUGACAAAUCAACAAAAUCCCUGAAAUUUAAGGUGUCUGUAUUUCUGAAGACCCAACUUUUGGUAAGAGGGAAACUGUGUUCACAGAGCAGCAUUGUGAUUCACAACUUUUAACAAUGAAGCAGCACAGGAAGUAACAGUCUGAUUUGGAAAGUUAUUGUCUGGAGGCUGUGUUUGCAUAAAGCAGGUAGUGACAACCUGCAUUUUCCAGUGUAGAGGGAAAAAAAUCCUUCACAGAAAAGGAAGGCAGUUUGCUCUUGUGAGUCAUCAGGAGCUGGGUGCUGAAGGAAGAAGACAUUCUUGAGGAAAAAGUUUCUGGCAUGAGGAGAAGCAGUGCUGUACUGUGGGUAUGGUUUCACUAGGA